This 392-nucleotide ribosomal RNA is filed under the name uncultured bacterium. Its description in RNAcentral is "partial 16S ribosomal RNA". It matches the Rfam family "Bacterial small subunit ribosomal RNA", at positions 523 to 918 of the family's 1533-position model. The record is from RNAcentral.
AUACGGAGGAUCCGAGCGUUAUCCGGAUUUAUUGGGUUUAAAGGGUGCGCAGGCGGCCAUUUAAGUCAGCGGUUAAAUCGUGGGGCUCAACCCCAUUCUGCCGUUGAUACUGGGUGUCUUGAGUACAGUAGAGGCAGGCGGAAUUCGUGGGGUAGCGGUGAAAUGCUUAGAUAUCACGAAGAACUCCGAUCGCGAAGGCAGCUCACCGGGCCGGAACUGACACUGAUGCUCGAAAGUGCGGGUAUCAAACAGGAUUAGAUACCCUGGUAGUCCGCACAGUAAACGAUGAAUACUCGCUGUUUGCGAUACACUGUAAGCGGCCAAGCGAAAGCGUUAAGUAUUCCACCUGGGGAGUACGCCGGCAACGGUGAAACUCAAAUGAAUUGGCGGGG